GAUGAACGCUGGCGGCGUGCUUAACACAUGCAAGUCGAACGGAAAGGCUCCUGCUUGCAGGGGUACUCGAUUGGCGAACGGGUGAGUAACACGUGGGUGAUCUGCCCUGCACUUCGGGAUAAGACUGGGAAACUGGGUCUAAUACCGGAUAGGACCUCAUUUUGGAUGGUGUGGUGGAAAGUUUUUCGGUGUGGGAUGGGCUCGCGGCCUAUCAGCUUGUUGGUGGGGUAAUGGGAUACCAAGGCGUCGACGGGUAGCCGGCCUGAGAGGGGGUACGGCCACCUUGGGACUGAGAUACGGCCCAGACGCCUAUGGGAGGCAGUAGUGGGGAAUAUUGCACAAUGGGGGCAAGCCUGAUGCAGCGACGUCGGGUGGGGGAAGACGUCCUUCGGGUUGUAAACUCCUUUCGCUAGAGACGAAGCGCAAGUGACGGUACCUGGAGAAGAAGCACCGGCUAACUACGUG
RNAcentral lists this ribosomal RNA (465 nucleotides) under uncultured bacterium. Its description in RNAcentral is "partial 16S ribosomal RNA". It matches the Rfam family "Bacterial small subunit ribosomal RNA", at positions 28 to 507 of the family's 1533-position model. The record is from RNAcentral.